GAGUUUGAUCGUGGCUCAGAGUGAACGCUGGCGGUAGGCCUAACACAUGCAAGUCGAACGGUAACAGGUCUUUCGGGAUGCUGACGAGUGGCGGACGGGUGAGGAAUACAUCGGAAUCUGCUCAGUCGUGGGGGAUAACGCAUGGAAACGUGCGCUAAUACCGCAUACAACCUUCGGGUGAAAGCAGGGGAAUCUCUCGGGAUCCUUGCGCGAUUGAAUGAGCCGAUGUCGGAUUAGCUAGUUGGUAGGGUAAAAGCCUACCAAGGCCACGAUCCGUAGCUGGUCUGAGAGGAUGAUCAGCCACACUGGGACUGAGACACGGCCCAGACUCCUGCGGGAGGCAGCAGUGGGGAAUAUUGGACAAUGGGGGCAACCCUGAUCCAGCCAUACCGCGUGGGUGAGGAAGGCCUUCUGGGUUGUAAAGCCCUUCUGUUGGGGAAGAAAAACAACGGGUUAAUACCCCGUUGGUAUGACGGUACCCAAAGAAUAAGCACCGGCUAACUUCGUGCCAGCAGCCGCGGUAAUACGAAGGGUGCAAGCGUUACUCGGAAUUACUGGGCGUAAAGGGUGCGUAGGUGGUUGCGCCAGUCUGUCGUGAAAGCCCUGGGCUUAACCUGGGAAUGGCGAUGGAAACUGUGCAACUAGAGUGUGACAGAGGGUGGUGGAAUUCCUGGUGUAGCAGUGAAAUGCGUAGAGAUCAGGAGGAACAUUCGUGGCGAAGGCGGCCACCUGGGUCAACACUGACACUGAGGCACGAAAGCGUGGGGAGCAAACAGGAUUAGAUACCCUGGUAGUCCACGCCCUAAACGAUGCGAACUGGAUGUUGGGUCCAACUUGGGAUUCAGUAUCGAAGCUAACGCGUUAAGUUCGCCGCCUGGGGAGUACGGUCGCAAGACUGAAACUCAAAGGAAUUGACGGGGGCCCGCACAAGCGGUGGAGUAUGUGGUUUAAUUCGAUGCAACGCGCAGAACCUUACCUGGCCUUGACAUGCACGGAACCUUU
This 1002-nucleotide ribosomal RNA is filed under the name uncultured Lysobacterales bacterium. RNAcentral's name for it is "bacterial SSU rRNA". It matches the Rfam family "Bacterial small subunit ribosomal RNA", at positions 9 to 1000 of the family's 1533-position model. Lineage: Bacteria; Pseudomonadati; Pseudomonadota; Gammaproteobacteria; Lysobacterales. The record is from RNAcentral.